Molecule: long non-coding RNA, 4244 nt
Filed under: Homo sapiens (human)
Lineage: Eukaryota; Metazoa; Chordata; Mammalia; Primates; Hominidae
Description: HSALNT0341005
Source: RNAcentral
UUUGAAAGAAAACAUGUAUUUAUUUACUUCCUCUACAGUUUUCCUGACUGCUACAUUUCAUAAGAAGGGAUUGUUUAUGAGGGUCAAGGAGCUGGAGGCCUGGGGAGGAGCUGGUGUUUUUGUUCAAGUCUGAGGGUCCUGGAGCUGGAGCCCAGGGGAGGAGCCGGUGCUACCACUGAUGUCUUAGGGUCGUGGAGCUGAAGAUCCAAGAGGAGCUGGUGCUGCUAUUCUAGCUUGAGUCUCAUGGAGCUGGAGACCCAGGGAGAAGAUGGUGCUGCUGUUCUAAUUUAAGGAUCGUGAAACAGAAGACCCAGAAAGGAGCUGGUGUUGUCGCUGCUCAAAUCUGAGGGUGUUGGAGCUGGAGCCUGGGGGUGGAGCUGGUGCUGCCUUUGAAGUCUGAGAGUCAUUGAGCUGGAGGUCCAGGAAGGAGCUGGUGCUGCUGUUCUAGGGUGAGGGUGGUGGAGCUGCAGACCCAGGGAGGAGAGGUCUUGUUCUAGUUUCAGGGUUGUGGAGCUGCAGACCCAUGGAGGAGCAAUGCUGUUGUAGUUCGAGGGUCAGGAAGCUGGCGACUCAGGGAGGAGAGUUCUUGUUCUAGUUCGAGGGUCAUCGAGCUACAGGCCCAGGCAGGUGCAAUGUUGUUGUAAUUCAAGGGUCAGGAAGCUGGCGACCCAGGGAGGAGAGGUCUUGUUGUUAUUUGAGGGUCAUGGAGCUGCAGACCCAGGCAGGAGCAAUGUUGUUGUAAUUUGAGGGUCCAGAAGCUGACGACGCAGGGAGGAGAGGUCUUGUUUGAGAUUGAGGGUCGUGGAGCUGCAGACCCAGGCAGGAGCAAUGUUGUUUUAGUUUGAGGGUCCGGAAGCUGGCAAACCAGGGAAAAGAGGUCUUGUUCUAGCUAAGGGUCGUCGAGCUACAGAUCCAGGGAGGAGCAGUGUUGUAGUUCGAGUCCGGAAGCUGGCGACCCAGGGAGGAGAGGUCUUGUUGUUAUUUGAGGGUAAUGGAGCUGCAGACCCAGGCAGGAGCAUUGUUGUUGUAAUUCGAGGGUCCGGAAGCUGGAGACCCAGGGAGGAGAGGUCUUGUUCUAGUUUGAGGGUUGUGGAUCUGGAGUUUUGGGGAACAGCCCGUGCUGCUGUUUAACUGUGGGGAGGUUCCUGUGUGUCAGUUGAAGUUUGAUGGUUUGGGAGCUGGAGACCCAGGGAGGAGCCAGUGCUGCUGUUCUAGUUUGAGGGUAGUGGAGCUGGAGAUCCCGGGAAGAGCUGGUGCUGUCCUUUAAAUCUGUGGGUCCUGGAGCUGGAAAACUGGUGGGGAGCUAGUUCUGCCAUUCAUGUCUUAGGGUCGUGGAGCUGGAAAUCCAGGGAGGCAGUGGUGCUGCUGUUCUAGUUUAAGGAUCAUGAAGCUGGAGACCUGGAUAGCAGAUGGUGCUACCAUUAUUCAAAUCUGAGGGUCAUGGAGCCGGAGCCUUGGGGAGUUGCCGGUGCCGCCUCUCAAGUCUGAGAGUUGUUGAGCUGGAGAUGCAGGGAGGAGCCCGUGUUGCUGUUGUAGUUUGAGGGUCAUGGAGCUGGAGACUCAGAGAGGAGGGGUGCUGUUCUAAUCUGAGGGGUGUGAAUCUGGAGACCCAGGGAGGAGCUGGUGCUGCUGUUGCUUAAGGCUGAGGGUUGUGGAGCUGGAGACCUGGGGGUGGCUGGUGUUGCUGUUGUUCAAGUCAGAGGGUCAUGGGGCUUGAGGUACAGGGAAGAGCUCGUGCUGCGGUUGCAGGUUGAGGGUCAUGGAGCUGGAAAUCUAGGGAGGAGCCACUGCUGCUGUUCAAGUCUGAGGGUCGUGUAGCUGGAGAGCGGGGAGGAGGUAGUGUUGGUGUCUAGUGUGAGGGUGGUGGAGCAGUAGACCUGGGGAAGAGCCGGUGCUGUGUAGUUUGAGGGUCAUGGAACUGGAGACCUAGGGAGCAGCCAGUGCUACCACCAUUUAAGUCAGAGGGUCAUGGAUCUGGAGCUUUGGGUAACAGCCCAUGCUGCUGUUUAACCUUGGAGGGAUCCGGUGUGUCAGUUGAAGUUUGAGGGUUUGGGAGCUGGAGACCCAGGGAGGAGCUGAUGAUGCCAUUCUAUUUUGAGGGUCGUGGAUCUGGAGACCUUGGGAGAGGCUGGUACUGCUGUUGAAGUUUGACGGUCGUGGAACCGGAGACAGGGGAAGGAGCCGGUGCUGCUGCUGUUCAUGUCUGAGGGUUGUAGAGCUGGAGACCCAGGGAGAAGUCCAUACUACGGCUUUUUAAGUCUGAGGGUCAUGGAGCCUGAGACCUGGGGAGGGGCCAGUGCUGCUGUUCAAAUGACUCCUUCCUGGGUCUCCAGCUCCAUGACCUUCAAACUAGGACAGCAGCAGCAGAUCCUUCCGGGGUCUUCCAGCUCCAUGACCUUCACACUAGAACAGCAGCACCGGCUCCACCCUGGGUCUCCAGAUCCACGACCCUCAAACUAGAACAGCAGCACUGACUCCUCCCUGGGUCUCCAGCUCUACAACCCUCAGACUCGAGGAGCUGGAGACCUGGGGAAGAGCCAGGGCUGCUUUUCUACUUUGAGGGUUGUGGAGCUGGAGACCCAGGGUGCAGCAGCUGCUGCUAUUAUAGUUUGAGGGCCUUGGAGCCAGAAACUUUGUGAGGAGCCGGUGCUGCGUUUCAAAUCUGAGAGUCAUUGAGCUGGAGACCCAGGGAGGAACCGGUGUUGCUGUUCUAGCCUGAGGGUAGUGAAGCUGGAGACCCAAGGAGGAGCCGAUGCUGCUGUUCUAGUUUGAGGUUAGUGGAGCUGGAGGUCACAGGAAGAGCCGGUGCUGCUGUUUAAAUCUGUGGGUCCUCGAGCUGGAGCCCUGUGGGGGAGCUGGUGUUGCUGUUGUUCAAGUCUGAGCAUAAUGGGGCUUUAGGUACAGGGAGGAGCCGCUGCUGUUCAAGUCUGAGGGUCAUGUAGCUGGAGAGUGGGGAGGAGGUAGUCUUGGUGUCUAGUGUGAGGGUGGUGGAGCUGUAGACCUGGGGAGGAGCCGGUGCUGCUGUGUAGUUUGAGGGUCAUGGAACUGCAGACCUAGGAAGGAGCCGGUGCUACCGCCAUUUAAGUCAGAGGGUCAUGGAUCUGGAGCUUUGGGGAACAGCCCGUGCUGCUGUUUAACUGUGGGGAGGAUCUGGUGUGUCAAUUGAAGUUUGAGGGUUUGGGAGCUGGAGACCCAGGGAGGAGCCGGUGAUGCCAUUCUAUUUUGAGGGUCGUGGAUCUGGAGACCUGGGGAGAGGCUGGUACUGUUGUUGUAGUUUGAGGGUCGUGGAAGUGGAGACAGGGCGAGGAGCCGGUGCUGCUGCUGUUCAUGUCUGAGGGUUGUAGAGCUGGAGCCCCAGGGAGAAGUCCAUACUAUGGCUUUUUAAGUCUGAGGGUCAUGGAGCCUGAGACCUGGGGAGGAGCUGGUGCUGGUGUAUAGUUUGAGGGUCGUGGAACUGGAGACCUAGGGAGGAGCCGGUGCUACCGCCACUUAAGUCAGAGGUUCGUGGAUCUGGAGCUUUGGGGAAGAGCCCGUGCUGCUAUUUAGCUGUGGGGAGGAUCUGGUGUGUCAAUUGAAGUUUGAGGGUUUGGGAGCUGGAGAUCCAGGAGGGAGCCUAUGAUGCCAUUCUAUUUUGAGGGUCAUGUAUGUGGAGACCUGGGGAGAGGCCGGUACUGCUGUUGUAGUUUGAGGGUUGUGGAAGUGGAGACAAAGGUAGGAGGCGGUGCUGCUGCUGUUCAUUUCUGAGGAUUGUAGAGCUGGAGGUCCACGGAGGAACCAGUGUUGCUGUUCUAGUCUGAGGGUAGUGAAGCUGGAGACCCAAGGAGGAGCUGGUACUAUUGUUCAUGUGUGAGGAUUGUGGAGCUGGAGAACCAGAGAGGAGCCGGUGCUGCUGAUCUAGUUUGAGGGCCGUGGAGCUGGAGAUCCCGGGAAGAGCCAGUGCUGCCGUUCAAAUCUGUGGGUCUUGGAGUUGGAGUGCUGGGGUGACCCGGUUCUUUCAUUCAUGUCUUAGAGUCAUGGAGCUGGAAACCCAGGGAGGCGGCGGUGCUGCUGUUCUAGUUUAAGGAUAGUGAAGCUGGAGACCUGGACAGGAGCUGGUGCUACCACUGUUCAAAUCUGAGGGUCAUGGAGCUGGAGCCUUGGGGAGGUGCCGGUGCUGCCUCUCAAGUCUGUGAGUUGUUGAGCUGGAGAUUCAGGGAGGAGCCAGUGUUGCUGUUGUUGUUGGAGGAUUGUGGAGCUGGAGGCUG